CUAGUAACGGCGAGCGAACCGGGAAGAGCUCAAAUUUGAAAUCUGAUGUCCUCUGGUCGUCAGAGUUGUAAUCUACAGAGGCGUUUUCCGCGCCGGUCCGUGUCCAAUUAUCCUUGGAACAGGGUAAUCAAAGAGGGUGACAAUCCCGUAGUUGACACGACCGCCGGUGCUUUGUGAUACGUCUUCUAAGAGUCGAGUUGUUUGGGAAUGCAGCUCAAAACGGGUGGUAAAUUCCAUCUAAGGCUAAAUAUUGGCGAGAGACCGAUAGCGAACAAGUACCGUGAGGGAAAGAUGAAAAGCACUUUGGAAAGAGAGUUAAACAGUACGUGAAAUUGUUGAAAGGGAAACGAUUGAAGUCAGUCGUGUCCGAGGGGUUCAGCCGGUCCUGCCGGUGCAUUCCUCUCGGACGGGUCAACAUCGGUUUUGGCCGGCGGAAAAGGGCGCGAGGAAUGUGGCACCUCCGGGUGUGUUAUAGCCUCGUGUCGCAUACGUCGGCCGAGACCGAGGAACGCAGCUCGCCUUCAUGGCCGGGGUUCGCCCACGUACGAGCUUAGGAUGUUGACAUAAUGGCUUUAAACGACCCGUCUUGAAACACGGACCAAGGAGUCUAACAUAUCUGCGAGUGUUUGGGUGUCAAACCCGAGCGCGUAAUGAAAGUGAACGUAGGAGGGAUCCGCAAGGAGCACCUUCGACCGAUCCGGAUCUUCUUU
RNAcentral lists this ribosomal RNA (710 nucleotides) under Tremella sp. RNAcentral's name for it is "partial large subunit ribosomal RNA". It matches the Rfam family "Eukaryotic large subunit ribosomal RNA", at positions 80 to 782 of the family's 3401-position model. The record is from RNAcentral. Lineage: Eukaryota; Fungi; Basidiomycota; Tremellomycetes; Tremellales; Tremellaceae.